Molecule: long non-coding RNA, 160 nt
Organism: Gorilla gorilla gorilla (western lowland gorilla)
Lineage: Eukaryota; Metazoa; Chordata; Mammalia; Primates; Hominidae
Exons: 2
Source: RefSeq, a predicted model, not a curated record
GCUUGGUCCGUACUCCUCGUCAUCUAUGGCUUUAGAACAGGGACCAACCGUGUUCCACCUGCACUCUCUCCUUCUUGCUCAAAUUUCCCCACUUGCCAAGAGAAAGUACCAACUCCAAGGCUGACUUUGUUGACAAGGGCAAGAGGUCGUGACCAAGGUG